UACGUAGGGUGCGAGCGUUAAUCGGAAUUACUGGGCGUAAAGCGUGCGCAGACGGUUUUGUAAGCCAGAUGUGAAAUCCCCGGGCUUAACCUGGGAAUGGCAUUUGGGACUGCAAGGCUUGAGUGCGGCAGAGGAGACUGGAAUUCCUGGUGUAGCAGUGAAAUGCGUAGAUAUCAGGAGGAACACCGAUGGCGAAGGCAGGUCUCUGGGCUGACACUGACGCUCAUGCACGAAAGCGUGGGGAGCAAACAGG
Molecule: ribosomal RNA, 253 nt
Filed under: uncultured bacterium
Lineage: Bacteria
Description: partial 16S ribosomal RNA
Rfam family: Bacterial small subunit ribosomal RNA
Source: RNAcentral